AGCUUAGAACUUUCACCUUCUGAAUCUAUGGCAAAAGGUGAUUCUGUCGUCUUUCUUUCACCAUCUGUUCAUUCCAAGGACAAGGCUUUCAAAGAGCUUCACCAAAGUGGAGUGCCAAAAGUGGAGUUGCUCGGAGAAUUCAGAAGCUCUCUGAAGAGCAGUGGUCUGAAAUCCAAGAAAGUGGAAGGCGAAGUAAGUAACUUUUCAACAUCUCAAGAUGAGAGGCCAAGGAGGAAGAUUGCUUCCUCUGUUAAUGACACACAUCUAUCCCCUUCAGAGUCCUCUGCUGCAGAAUUCCCUUCAUAUGGAAGCUUUACUGCACAGGAGAUCAUUAUGAAGAAAGAGGAGGGUAACGAUGGUGAAGAAGAUGUAAAGAAGAUGCUCAGAACUCCAGUCAGGCGAUCAAAUCGAAUUCGCAAUCGAGCAGUCACAUCUCCUUGAAUUAACUCCAAGUUGAUGAUAGAUGAUUUUUUAUUUGAAUUGCCAUGAUUCAGAAACAGCUUCCUGUUGUUGCAUGUUAAAAAACCAAGGCCUGUGUAAAGAGCCCUCUCUUAUGUUAAAGCUAGC
Telopea speciosissima is the source of this 567-nucleotide RNA transcript. RefSeq lists it as uncharacterized. NCBI's taxonomy places the organism in Eukaryota, Viridiplantae, Streptophyta, Magnoliopsida, Proteales, Proteaceae. The record is from RefSeq and is a predicted model, not a curated record. The transcript is spliced from 3 exons.